ACUUCCGAGGAGCGUUGCAGCUCGCCGCCCAUGCCACGUGGGUGCCGCGAGUGAGGCUCGGAAAACACGCCGCGUCCUGCGCCGUGCCUGUCAACGGCGCUCACCCACU
This 109-nucleotide non-coding RNA is filed under the name Curvibacter sp. Its description in RNAcentral is "SAH sequence". It matches the Rfam family "SAH (S-adenosyl-L-homocysteine) riboswitch aptamer". Lineage: Bacteria; Pseudomonadati; Pseudomonadota; Betaproteobacteria; Burkholderiales; Comamonadaceae. The record is from RNAcentral.